RNAcentral lists this ribosomal RNA (502 nucleotides) under uncultured bacterium. RNAcentral's name for it is "bacterial SSU rRNA". It matches the Rfam family "Bacterial small subunit ribosomal RNA", at positions 28 to 507 of the family's 1533-position model. The record is from RNAcentral.
AAUGAACGCUGGCGGCGUGCUUAACACAUGCAAGUCGUGCGCGAAAGUCGACUUCGGUUGACGAGUAGAGCGGCGAACGGGUGAGUAACACGUGGGUAACCUGCCUGGGAGCGGGGGAUAACCUGGGGAAACUCGGGCUAAUACCGCAUACGCUCUAGGUGCUUCGGCACCGUGAGGAAAGCUGGCCUCUACUUGUAAGCUAGCACUCCCAGAGGGACCCGCGCCCGAUUAGCUAGUUGGUGGGGUAACGGCCCACCAAGGCUGCGAUCGGUAGCCGGCCUGAGAGGGCGAUCGGCCACACUGGGACUGAGACACGGCCCAGACUCCUACGGGAGGCAGCAGUGGGGAAUAUUGGACAAUGGGCGCAAGCCUGAUCCAGCAACGCCGCGUGGAGGACGAAGGCCUUCGGGUCGUAAACUCCUGUCAGUUGGGACGAAAAGCUGUCGGCAAAUAGGCGGCAGUCAUGACGGUACCAGCAGAGGAAGCCCCGGCUAACUCCGUG